RNAcentral lists this ribosomal RNA (497 nucleotides) under uncultured bacterium. RNAcentral describes it as "partial 16S ribosomal RNA". It matches the Rfam family "Bacterial small subunit ribosomal RNA", at positions 28 to 507 of the family's 1533-position model. The record is from RNAcentral.
GAUGAACGCUGGCGGCGUGCCUAAUACAUGCAAGUCGAGCGAACAGACGAGGAGCUUGCUCCUCUGACGUUAGCGGCGGACGGGUGAGUAACACGUGGAUAACCUACCUAUAAGACUGGGAUAACUUCGGGAAACCGGAGCUAAUACCGGAUAACAUUUUGAACCGCAUGGUUCAACAGUGAAAGACGGUCUUGCUGUCACUUAUAGAUGGAUCCGCGCCGCAUUAGCUAGUUGGUAAGGUAACGGCUUACCAAGGCAACGAUGCGUAGCCGACCUGAGAGGGCGGUCAGCGAAACUGGGACUGAGUCACCGUCCAGCCUCGUACGGGAGCAAGCAGUCGGGAAUCUGACGCAAUAGGGGAAAGCCUGACAGGGCCAGACCGCGUGAGUGAAGACGGUCUUCGGGUCGUAAAACCCUCUUAUUAGGGAGGAACGAGUGUGGAAGGAACGAUGCGCGUAGUGCCGGUACCUACGCAGAAAGCGGCGGCUAACUACGUG